Molecule: non-coding RNA, 4186 nt
Organism: Pantherophis guttatus
Lineage: Eukaryota; Metazoa; Chordata; Lepidosauria; Squamata; Colubridae
Source: RefSeq, a predicted model, not a curated record
AGGGAGAGGAGAGAGCUCAGCCGCUGCUUCCCUGCCGGGGCUUCUCAGCGGCCCCCGGGGGGCAGCUCCGUCUCUGGGGCGGCGGCGGUGGGGGGAAGGGGAGCAUCCCCGGCCCGGAUUUAGACCCACAAAGGCCGCGUUGCAAAGUCGCCGCCUGCGCUUCCUCGGCCGCCUUUCGGCCGGUCGGUGGCGGCUUGCAAAAGCGGGUGCAGCAGCCGGCUGGCUGCCUCCGGCUCGGCUGCCCGAUUGGCAUGAUGUUUCCGCAAAGCCGGCACUCGGCCUCUUCUCAUCUGCCUCAGCAGUUGAAGUUCACAACUUCCGAUUCCUGCGACCGGAUUAAAGAUGAGUUCCAGUUGCUGCAGGCACAGUAUCACAGCCUGAAGUUGGAAUGCGACAAGCUGGCCAGCGAAAAGUCGGAGAUGCAGCGCCAUUACGUGAUGUAUUACGAGAUGUCCUAUGGCCUCAACAUCGAAAUGCAUAAGCAGGCUGAAAUUGUCAAGCGGCUGAAUGGCAUUUGCGCCCAGGUUUUGCCAUAUCUGUCGCAAGAGCACCAACAGCAGGUCCUGGGAGCCAUUGAGCGUGCCAAACAAGUGACAGCCCCUGAACUGAAUUCCAUCAUCCGGCAGCAACUCCAAGCCCACCAGCUCUCUCAGCUUCAGGCACUGGCCUUGCCCCUCACCCCGCUCUCCGUGGGCUUGCAGGCCCCCUCCCUGCCCGCCGUGAGCGCCAGCACCGGCCUGCUCUCCCUCUCGGCGCUGGGCUCCCAGGCCCACCUCUGCAAGGAAGACAAGAACGGCCACGACGGAGACGCCCACCAAGAAGACGAUGGGGAAAAAUCCGACUAGGUGGAUCUCAUCCAGUCAGGGGGGAGGGGCGGUGGGCAGCGUGGGGCGAUACUUGGUGUUGGGGGGGGGGGGGGGCAGAAGACGCCGCAUUUAAUCCAAUUCCGGGGCUGGCGGGUAAACCACAGUUCUUCAGUGGGGCACGAGGGGCGAGAUAAAAUUGCAGCAAUAACACUUUAGCUCCCUCCUUUUCCUGCCCCUCUUCCAUUCCAGCCCCAUAGCAGGCAGGAACGGUUCCCCAAGCAAUUGAGGGGCCUUUGCGUACAUGUUGAGGGGUCAGGUGGGGAAGGGGGUUGGACCUCCCCCCUUUCUAUCUCCCCUUCCCCCCUUUAAAUUAAUUCCAAAGGGUUAAGCCAGCAUCAGAAUAUCCACGAUGCUUUCUUAAACUUGGUUACUCCUCCACAUCCAUCCAUCCUUUCCCAGGUGUUUUCGCAAGGACUUGCUUGGGCCGUUGGACAAGAAACUAACAAACUGGGUUAGUUAUCCAAGGGGAAGGAAGGAUGUGGGUUUGCCCGAUCCUAGAUUUGUGGGGAAACCAGAGAUCCUGGGAAAAUCCCCUCCCCCCAAAAUCACCCAGCUGGAAGAUUUUCAGCCACAGGCCAGUCACUGGCACCCUCCCAGCCUGUAUAUCUCAACCUCGGCCACUUUAAGAUUGGACUUCAACUCCCAGAAUCCCUCAGCCUCACUUUACUAAAUCAUGACCUAGGUGGAUAGUGUGGUUUUGUACAGGUUGUCCUCGACCAAUGGACCCAAUUUCCCUUUGCUAAGCAAGGCGGUGUGAAGUGACUCGCACCCGAUUGGAUGAGCUUUUUUUUUUUUCUUUGCCCCGCAGCUGCUAAGCCAAUCACCGCUGGAGGGGUGGGGGAAUGCUGGGAGUUGAAGUCCGCACAUCUUAAAAUGGCCACCGUUGAAAAACAGAGAAAAAGAAAACCCAUCAUUCUGACAUUCCCUAUCUGAUUUGAGCUCCCUGGCACGGCGGUACCUCAGUUUUGUGCUCAUGGAGGGCUGCCCUCUCCCAGUGGGCAAGGCCAGACCCCGUUGGGAGAGGGCACGCCGACAGGGUGAGAGACAAAAUGGGUUGGCAAACUUUCUGAAACCCACCAACCUCUUAAAAAUGCCCCCAAAUGGAGAGAAAUGGCUGAAAUGCAAAGAACAAAAGUCCCCCACCUGAGGAGAUGCUGGCAUGUUGACCCCAGGCUCCCCCCUCCCCAAUUUCUGUUCCCCAAUCAUCAGGUAGUCCUCGAAUUACAACAGUUCAUUUAGCGACCGUUUGAAGUUAACAACAGCACUGAAAAAAGCGACGAUUUUUCACACUUUACCACUGUUGCAGCAUUCCCCCACGGUCACGUGAUCAAAAUUCUGACACUUGACAACUGAUUCAUAUUUAUGACUGUUGCAGUGUCCCAGGAUCAGCUUUUGUGACCUUCUGGCAAGCAAAAGUCAAUGGGGAAGCCAGAUUCACUUCACCACCAUAUGAAUAACUUAACAACUGCAACAAUUCGCUUAACAUCUGUGGCUAGAAAGGUCGUAAAAAUGGGGCAAACCUCAUGUAACAAAUGUCUGACUUAACAACAGAAAUUUUGGGCUCCAUUGCAGUCGUAAGUCGAGGACUACCUGUCUUCUAGCGGAGGUCCCAGCUCACUCUCCCAACCAACAGCACAAUUUCCCCGUAUGGAUUACACCCGCCCCCACCUCUCCGUAAUCCCCCUCCCUUCCAAAAAAAUUCCUAGAUCCAGCAAACUCGCCCUUACUUGCAAGUCGUCAGCAGCUGCGUUCAGCCAGGAAACUCAUUACAGCUACUCCUCAACUUACCACUGUUCAUUUAGUGACCAAAGUGGCAACGGCAUGACUUAACCAGCCCUCCCACUCAUACGGCCAUCGCAGCCAUCCCUGUGGUCACGCGAUCAGAAUCGCCGGACGCUGUGGCACCUGGCGUGUAUUUAUGAAGUUUGCAGCGUCCCUGGGAUCAUGCGAUCCCCAUUCGCGACCUUCCCAGCUGGUUUCCAAGAAGCAAAGCCAAUAAGGAAAGCUGGAUUUGCUUUAACAACCGUACAAUUCACUUAACUAACCCUGCGGUGAUUUGCUUAACAACCACGGCAAACGGGUAAUAACAUAGGGUGUGACUUCCUUAACUGCUGUCGUGCUUAGCUGUGGAAAUUCUGUUCUCAAUUGUGGCCAUAAGUCGAGGACUACCUGCGCUCAAAGCAAAUAGGAAUAAACCUCUUCAAGACUGUCCCGCACUGCAGGGUUGUCUGUUUGAUUUUGGGCGGUCAUAUAAGCAGCUAGAUAAGAAUGGAUAAUGCGUCCCACCGAUGAUUUCCUUGAAAAGCAAGCCAGAUUGACUCCUUGGGGGGGUUGCAAGGGUUCUGGCUGGGGCCGACCCUGUCAGACUACCUCCGCAUUGGAUAAUUUGCAAACCGCCAGAUCCCACUGGACUCCACGUCGGUAGUUUUAAUUUGCUUUUUUUUUUUUCCCCCUCCUUGGCGGCACUUAGCUCACAUCUGCCGAUGGGGGCUCCUUCUCUGCAGAACUUUGUUUUAAAUUGAUCCAUAUCGCCACUGACCCCUCCCCCAACACUCACAAGCAGUAUCUGGGCUUUGCGAAGCCCCCCCCUUCCUCCCCAACCCCACGCCCCGCUCGACUCCUCUCUCGCUGGCCCUCCCUCUGCUCCCACCAGCACUGUUUUAGCUAAGCAAGCACCUUUGUCAUUAUGCAUGUCUCGUUUUUAAGGUAGCACAGAAGCAAAAAUUUUAUAUAUAUACAUAUAUAUAUAAAUAUAUAUAAAUAUAUAAAUAUAUUAGUUGGGUAAUCUCUGCCUCUGGGUGAACCUCUCAAUGGUGUGUUGUUUUUUUAACCUGCCUUGCUGUUUCCUUUCCCUAACCUUUUUUUUUCCGGGUUUAAAAAAAAGCUGGAAUUUGGAAAUUUUAUCUUGAAACGAUGGCUCAACUUCCUUUUUUCAGCCGGAUGGUUUGAAAUUCAGGGGGUUGAGGGGUGGUGGGUGUGGAAAAGGAUGUGAAGGGGAAGGGGGGGCUCCUGGACGCCCCUUCCCAUUUCUUAAAACAAAAACAUCCCAAGGAUCCUGCAGCUGUUCUAUCUUUCCGUAAUGCUAGUUCUCGACUUUUUUUCCCCCCCUCUCAAUUCCCCAAAUAAAUUUUACGACAAAGAGAAUUUUUUCGUGUUUGUAUAUAUUCCUUUAGAGACAGAGAAGAGAGAGAAAAAUCUUGUUGGCUCCGUGUGUUUAUUAAUCACUUGACCCUAUAUUAAGAGGAACUGAGACAAAAAUUCUGUAUUGAAAAUGUAAUAGCUGUGCCUUUUCAAAUAAAGAAAUCAGAUUGUUGGUUAAA